This is a non-coding RNA of Potamilus streckersoni, 83 nucleotides long. NCBI's taxonomy places the organism in Eukaryota, Metazoa, Mollusca, Bivalvia, Unionida, Unionidae. The record is from the annotation of a GenBank genome assembly.
GCUCCUGUGGUUUAGUGGUUAGAGCCACCACCUCGGAUGUGGGAGGUUGUGGGUUCGAUACCGGUCGAGUCAUACCAAAGACU